GAUGAAGAACGUAGUGAAAUGCGAUAAGUAGUGUGAAUUGCAGAAUUCAGUGAAUCAUCGAGUCUUUGAACGCACAUUGCGCCCCCUGGUAUUCCGGGGGGCAUGCCUGUCCGAGCGUCAUUGCUGCCCUCAAGCACGGCUUGUGUGUUGGGCCUCCGUCCUCCUCCCGGGGGACGGGCCCGAAAGGCAGCGGCGGCACCGCGUCCGGUCCUCGAGCGUAUGGGGCUUCGUCACCCGCUCUUGUAGGCCCGGCCGGCGCUUGCCGACACAUCAAUCUUUUUUCCAGGUUGACCUCGGAUCAGGUAGGGAUACCCGCUGAACUUAAGCAUAUCAAUAAGCGGAGGA
RNAcentral lists this unclassified non-coding RNA (345 nucleotides) under soil metagenome. RNAcentral describes it as "partial contains 5.8S ribosomal RNA, internal transcribed spacer 2, and large subunit ribosomal RNA". The stretch from base 1 to 120 matches the Rfam family "5.8S ribosomal RNA", at positions 35 to 154 of the family's 154-position model. The record is from RNAcentral.